Molecule: ribosomal RNA, 420 nt
Filed under: [Clostridium] innocuum
Lineage: Bacteria; Bacillati; Bacillota; Clostridia; Eubacteriales; Clostridiaceae
Description: bacterial SSU rRNA
Rfam family: Bacterial small subunit ribosomal RNA
Source: RNAcentral
GGGUGAGUAACACGUAGGUAACCUGCCCAUGUGUCCGGGAUAACUGCUGGAAACGGUAGCUAAAACCGGAUAGGUAUACAGAGCGCAUGCUCAGUAUAUUAAAGCGCCCAUCAAGGCGUGAACAUGGAUGGACCUGCGGCGCAUAGCUAGUUGGUGAGGUAACGGCCCACCAAGGCGAUGAUGCGUAGCCGGCCUGAGAGGGUAAACGGCCACAUUGGGACUGAGACACGGCCCAAACUCCUACGGGAGGCAGCAGUAGGGAAUUUUCGUCAAUGGGGGAAACCCUGAACGAGCAAUGCCGCGUGAGUGAAGAAGGUCUUCGGAUCGUAAAGCUCUGUUGUAAGUGAAGAACGGCUCAAGAGGAAAUGCUAUGGGAGUGACGGUAGCUUACCAGAAAGCCACGGCUAACUACGUGCCAGC